Molecule: small RNA, 3570 nt
Filed under: Pongo abelii (Sumatran orangutan)
Lineage: Eukaryota; Metazoa; Chordata; Mammalia; Primates; Hominidae
Description: retained intron
Source: RNAcentral
UUUUAUUUUAUUUUUUUUUUUUUGAGACGAAGUUUCGCUCUUGUUGCCCAGGCUGGAGUGCAGUGGCACGAUCUCAGCUCACUGCAACUUCCACCUCCUGGGUUCGAGCGAUUCUCCUGCCUCAGCCUCCUGAGUAGCUGGGAUUACAAGUGUCCGCCACCACCCCUGGCUAAUUUUUUGCAUUUUUAGUAGAGGCGGGGUUUCACUACGUUGGCCAUGGCUGGUCUUGAACUCCUGACCUCAGGUGAUCCACCCGACUCGGCCUCCCAAAGUGCUCGGAUUACAGGCAUGAGCCCCCAUGCCCAGCCCCCAGUCCCAUCUUAUUACCCAGGUGCCCACCCCAUUACCCGCCACCAGGUGCUCCCCCUCCAACACUGUCCAGUCUCUGAAGAACCUGCAGACACACAGAGUCCCUCGACUGCUUCCCCUGCAGUCCUCCCUCUGGCCUCUUCUGGCUCCCGCCUUGCUCUGCUCAGUUCCCUCCUCCAAGGCCUCCCAGGAGGCUGGCCUGGCCCUCACUAGCCCAGCCCCCCGGGGUGUGAUGGGCAGGGCUCUGGCAUCAGGACCCCCCUCCCUCCAGAGUCACCACCAUGUCUUUUCUCUGGCCUGUGUACCCCCCAGAGGCCUGUGGCCCCGACGCCACCUGUGUGAACCGGCCUGACGGUCGAGGCUACACCUGCCGCUGCCACCUGGGCCGCUCGGGGUUGCGGUGUGAGGAAGGUGAGUGGAGCCAGGUCUGAGACCCCCAGGGUCCUAGUGUCAGCUGGGGAGGCUGGGUGGGGCACUCUGAGGCCAUGAUGGGCCCUACGGAUGAUAAAACGAUUCCCAAGCCGGAGGAUCUGGAAGUCACCUGGCCACGAGUCUGCCCAGCCUGAGCCCCUUAGUGAGUGAGGGCCCCCAAAGAGGACCCCUGUCAUAUUGGAGCUCCUCCCAGCCCAGUGUGCAAGGGCAGGGGGGCUUCUGUGCCACUGCAGCUGGUGCCAACUGGUCCUGAGCCUCUGGGCCUGGAGAGUGAGGCAGGCAAGGGUCCCAGAGGAAGGCAGAGUAGCUGGACCCCACCCGAGGGUCCAGGAUCCCCACUGCCUCAGCUGAGCUGUGGCUGCUGCAGGUGUGACAGUGACCACCCCCUCGCUGUCGGGUGCUGGCUCCUACCUGGCGCUGCCCGCCCUCACCAACACACACCACGAGCUACGCCUGGACGUGGAGUUCAAGCCACUCGACCCUGACGGGGUCCUGCUGUUCAGCGGGGGGAAGAGCGGGCCUGUGGAGGACUUCGUGUCCCUGGCGAUGGUGGGCGGCCACCUGGAGUUCCGCUACGAGUUGGGGUCAGGGCUGGCCGUUCUGCGGAGCACGGAGCCGCUGGCCCUGGGCCGCUGGCACCGCGUGUCUGCAGAGCGUCUCAACAAGGAUGGCAGCCUGCAGGUGAAUGGUGGACGCCCCGUGCUGCGCUCCUCACCCGGCAAGAGCCAGGGCCUCAACCUGCACACCUUGCUCUACCUGGGGGGUGUGGAGCCUUCCGUGCCACUGUCCCCGGCCACCAACAUGAGCGCUCACUUCCGUGGGUGUGUGGGCGAGGUGUCAGUGAAUGGCAAACGGCUAGACCUCACCUACAGUUUCCUAGGCAGCCAGGGCAUCGGGCAGUGCUAUGACAGCUCCCCAUGUGAGCGCCAGCCAUGCCAACAUGGUGCCACGUGCAUGCCUGCUGGCGAGUAUGAGUUCCAGUGCCUGUGUCGAGAUGGAUUCAAAGGAGACCUGUGUGAGCACGAGGAGAACCCCUGCCAGCUCCGUGAACCCUGUCUGCAUGGGGGCACCUGCCAGGGCACCCGCUGCCUCUGCCUCCCUGGCUUCUCUGGCCCACGCUGCCAACAAGGCUCUGGACAUGGCAUAGCAGAGUCCGACUGGCAUCUUGAGGGCAGCGGGGGCAAUGAUGCCCCUGGGCAGUACGGAGCCUAUUUCCACGAUGAUGGCUUCCUCGCUUUCCCCGGCCGUAUCUUCUCCAGGAGCCUGCCCGAGGUGCCCGAGACCAUCGAGCUGGAGGUUCGGACCAGCACAGCCAAUGGCCUCCUGCUCUGGCAGGGUGUGGAGGUGGGAGAGGCCGGCCGAGGCAAGGACUUCAUCAGCCUCGGGCUUCAAGACGGGCACCUUGUCUUCAGGUACCAGCUGGGUAGUGGGGAGGCCCGCCUGGUCUCUGAGGACCCCAUCAAUGACGGCGAGUGGCACCGGGUGACAGCGCUGCGGGAGGGCCGCAGAGGUUCCAUCCAAGUCGACGGUGAGGAGCUGGUCAGUGGCCGGUCCCCAGGUCCCAACGUGGCAGUCAACGCCAAGGGCAGCAUCUACAUUGGCGGAGCCCCUGACGUGGCCACGCUGACCGGGGGCAGGUUCUCCUCGGGCAUCACAGGCUGUGUCAAGAACCUGGUGCUGCACUCGGCCCGCCCCAGUGCCCCGCCCCCACAGCCCCUGGACCUGCAGCACCGUGCCCAGGCUGGGGCCAACACACGCCCCUGCCCCUCGUAGGCACCUGCCUGCCCCACAUGGACUCCCGGGCCGCACCCCAGCCCGACAAUGUCGAGUAUAUUAUUAUUAAUAUUAUUAUGAAUUUUUGUAAGAAACUGAGGCGAUGCCACGCUUUGCUGCUACCGCCCUGGGCUGGACUGGAGGUGGGCAUGCCACCCCCACACACACAGCUGGGCAAAGCCACAAGGCUGGCCGGCAAGGCAGGUUGGAUGGGAGUGGGCGCCUCAGAAAGCCACCAGGACUUGGGGUCAGGAACGGUGGCUGGGUGGGCCCAGAACUGCCCCCACUGUCCCCCCUACCCACCGAUGGAGCCCCCGGAUAGAGCUGGGUGGCCUGUUUCUGCAGCCCUUGGGCAGUUCUCACUCCUAGGAGAGCCAGCCUCGGCUUGUGGGCUGGUGCCCCACAGCUACCUGAGACGGGCAUCGCAGGAGUCUCUGCCACCCACUCAGGAUUGGGAAUUGUCUUUAGUGCUGGCUGUGGAGCAAAAGGCAGCUCACCCGUGGGCAGAUGGUCCGCAUCCCCACCAGCUCUUUUUUCAGCACCCCCACCCACCUCCACCCAGCCCCUGGCACCUCCUCUGGCAGCCUCCCCCUCCUACCACACCCUCCUGGCCUGCAUUCCCACCCCCUCCUGCCAGCACACAGCCUGGGGUCCCUCCCUCAGGGGCUGUAAGGGAAGGCCCACCCCAACUCUUACCAGGAGCUGCUACAGGCAGAGCCCAGCACUGAUAGGGCCCCGCCCACCGGGCCCCGCCCACCCCAGGCCACCUCCCCACCCAUCUGGAAGUGAAGGCCCAGGGACUCCUCGGACGUACAGACGCCGCUGGUGCUCAGGAAGAGCUAGUGCCUUAGGUGGGGGAAGGCAGGACUCACGACUGAGAGAGAGAGGAAGGGGAUAUGACCACCCUGCCCCAUCUGCGGGAGCCUGAAGAUCCAAGAGCCAUCCUGCCAGUGGCCCCCAGACUGUGGGGUUGGGACGGCUGGCCUCUGUGUCCUAGAAGGGACCCUCCUGUGGUCUUUGUCUUGAUUUUUCUUAAUAAACGGUGCUAUCCCCGCC